GAUGAACGCUGGCGGCGUGCUUAACACAUGCAAGUCGAACGAAGCAUUUAGAACAGAUUACUUCGGUUUGAAGUUCUUUAUGACUGAGUGGCGGACGGGUGAGUAACGCGUGGGUAACCUGCCUUGUACUGGGGGAUAGCAGCUGGAAACGGCUGGUAAUACCGCAUAAGCGCACAAUGUUGCAUGACAUGGUGUGAAAAACUCCGGUGGUAUAAGAUGGACCCGCGUCUGAUUAGCUAGUUGGCGAGAUAACAGCCCACCAAGGCGACGAUCAGUAGCCGACCUGAGAGGGUGACCGGCCACAUUGGGACUGAGACACGGCCCAGACUCCUACGGGAGGCAGCAGUGGGGAAUAUUGCACAAUGGAGGAAACUCUGAUGCAGCGACGCCGCGUGAGUGAAGAAGUAAUUCGUUAUGUAAAGCUCUAUCAGCAGGGAAGAUAGUGACGGUACCUGACUAAGAAGCUCCGGCUAAAUACGUG
Molecule: ribosomal RNA, 481 nt
Filed under: uncultured bacterium
Lineage: Bacteria
Description: partial 16S ribosomal RNA
Rfam family: Bacterial small subunit ribosomal RNA
Source: RNAcentral